This 570-nucleotide ribosomal RNA is filed under the name uncultured bacterium. RNAcentral's name for it is "bacterial SSU rRNA". It matches the Rfam family "Bacterial small subunit ribosomal RNA", at positions 68 to 620 of the family's 1533-position model. The record is from RNAcentral.
GAGAACAGGGCUUCGGCCCUGAGUAGAGUGGCGCACGGGUGAGUAACGCGUGGGUAAUCUGCCCUUGGAUUUGGGAUAACUCUGCGAAAGUGGAGCUAAUACCGGAUAGUCUGGCUUUAAUUAAGAAGUCGGUAAAGGAUGCCUCUGCAUAUGCAUUCGUCCGAGGAUGAGCCCGCGUCUCAUUAGCUAGUUGGUAGGGUAAUGGCCUACCAAGGCAACGAUGAGUAGCUGGUCUGAGAGGAUGAUCAGCCACACUGGAACUGAAACACGGUCCAGACUCCUACGGGAGGCAGCAGUGGGGAAUAUUGCGCAAUGGGCGAAAGCCUGACGCAGCAACGCCGUGUGAGGGAUGAAGGCUUUCGGGUCGUAAACCUCUGUCGGAAGGGAAGAACGGGCAUUGGUCUAAUAGGCCUUUGUUUUGACGGUACCUUUAGAGGAAGCACCGGCUAACUCCGUGCCAGCAGCCGCGGUAAUACGGAGGGUGCAAGCGUUAUUCGGAAUUACUGGACGUAAAGCGCACGUAGGCGGCCUUGUAAGUCAGGGGUGAAAUCCCACGGCUCAACCGUGGAA